This 82-nucleotide transfer RNA is filed under the name Canis lupus familiaris (dog). It matches the Rfam family "tRNA". Rfam says of the family: Transfer RNA (tRNA) molecules are approximately 80 nucleotides in length. Their secondary structure includes four short double-helical elements and three loops (D, anti-codon, and T loops). The record is from Rfam by way of RNAcentral. RNAcentral also lists the same sequence under 1 other name. Lineage: Eukaryota; Metazoa; Chordata; Mammalia; Carnivora; Canidae.
GCCUGGGUGGCUCAGCAGUUGAGCAUCUGCCUUUGGCUCAGGAUGUGAUCCCGGGAUGUGGGAUCGAGUCCCACAUCGGGCU